This 58-nucleotide transfer RNA is filed under the name Salmo salar (Atlantic salmon). It matches the Rfam family "tRNA", at positions 8 to 63 of the family's 71-position model. From Rfam's summary of the family: Transfer RNA (tRNA) molecules are approximately 80 nucleotides in length. Their secondary structure includes four short double-helical elements and three loops (D, anti-codon, and T loops). The record is from Rfam by way of RNAcentral. Lineage: Eukaryota; Metazoa; Chordata; Actinopteri; Salmoniformes; Salmonidae.
UGGCUCAGUUGGUAGAGCAUGGUGUUUACAGCACCAGGGUUGUGGGUUCAAUUCCCAC